Molecule: ribosomal RNA, 513 nt
Filed under: uncultured bacterium
Lineage: Bacteria
Description: partial 16S ribosomal RNA
Rfam family: Bacterial small subunit ribosomal RNA
Source: RNAcentral
AACGAACGCUGGCGGCGUGGAUAAGACAUGCAAGUCGAACGGGACAAGUAGCAAUAUUUGUCUAGUGGCGAACGGGUGCGUAACACGUGGGCAACAUGCCUGGAAGAGCGGGAUAGCCCGGGGAAACUCGGAUUAAUACCGCAUGUGACAACGGGGCGGAUUCGCCCUGUUUUCAAAGGCGGGGACCGCAAGGCCUGCCGCUUCCAGAUCGGCCCGCGUCCCAUCAGCUAGUUGGCGGGGUAACGGCCCACCAAGGCGACGACGGGUAGCUGGUCGGAGAGGACGACCAGCCACACUGGAACUGAGACACGGUCCAGACACCUACGGGUGGCAGCAGUCGAGAAUCUUUCACAAUGGGGGAAACCCUGAUGGAGCGACGCCGCGUGGAGGAUGACGGUCUUCGGAUUGUAAACUCCUGUCAUGAAAGAACAAGCGGAGCGGGUGAACAGCCCGCCGAGUUGAUAGUAUUUCAAGAGGAAGGGACGGCUAACUUCGUGCCAGCAGCCGCCGUAA